ACAUGUGAUGCUACAACCCAACUGGGGGAUCGCUCGGCUCGAGUGCCGAUGAAGGUCGUGACAAGCUGCGAUAAGCUGCGGGUAGGCGCAUGUAUGCCUAAGAUCCGCAGAUGGCUGAAUAGGACUUCCUGUUUCUUCGGAAACGGUCGCGUUAGCGAUAGGGAACCCACCGAAUUGAAGCAUCUUAGUAGGUGGAGGAAAUGAAAUCAAUUGAGAUUCCGUUAGUAGUGGCGAAUGAACACGGAUCAGGACAAGCCGAAUCCCAAAUCGAAAGAGAGGGAGAUGUGGUUGGCAGUCUUUUGUCUAAGUCAUGGAAGGAGAACUCGCCUGGAACGGCGGAUCCAUAGAGGGUGAAAGUCCCGUAUCCGUACAUGAUAUGACCACGUGACUGUCACAGAGUAGCAUGCGUUGGAAAUCGCGUGUGAAUAUGGGAGGCAGAUACUUCCAAUCCUAAAUACAACUCGAGACCGAUAGUUUACAAGUAACGUGAGUGAAAGCUGAAAAGUAUCCUUAGCGGGAUGUGAAAAGAACGUGAAACCAGUUGGGUACAGGCUGAUUGGGCGUGAAAGCGAAGAUAUGAGCAGCGUCCAGUCGUGCGUUUAGAAAAAUGCCCCAGGGAGUCUUGAUCAUUGGCGAGGUUAAGUGGUUGAUCCACGUAGCCGAAGGGAAACCGACAUGUCCGCAGCAGUUUACUGUGAGGGACGAAGUGUGCUCGCUUGGAGUCAAUGGUGGAGGACCUGAAGCCCGACGAUCUAUGCCUGGCCAGAUUGAAGCCCGUUGAAAGAUGGGUGGAGGAUCGCACCGUUGCUGAUCUGCAAAUCGCUCGGACGAGCUGGGUAUAGGGGUGAAAGUCCAAUCGAGUUGGGCAAUAGCAGGUUCCGCGUGAAACUACUCGUAGGUAGACGUUCGUGGAGAUAGAUUACGCUGUAGAGCACUGAUUGUGCAUUUAGGGGAAGCGAUUCCUCGGUGUGCUGCCAAACUCCGAAGGUGUAAUCGUUGUAGAUACGAGCAGUGAGUGAUGGUGGGUAAGCUACCAUUACAAAAGGUGAACAAACCAGCCUGAAGUUAAGGUCCCUAAAUAUCAGUUAAGUGUCACAGACAAACCGUGUCCGUGGUCGAAAACAACCAGAAGGUGGGCUUAGAAGCAGCCAUCCUUGAAAGAGUUCGUAACAGAUCACUGGUCUAGCUUGCGGGCCGGGAAAAGGGACGGGGCUCAAACUGAUUACCGAUACUUCAGACCAUCGAAAGAUGAUGUGGUAACGCGGCGU
This 1268-nucleotide ribosomal RNA is filed under the name Candidatus Poseidonia sp. Its description in RNAcentral is "Poseidonia sp. partial 23S ribosomal RNA". It matches the Rfam family "Archaeal large subunit ribosomal RNA", at positions 1 to 1326 of the family's 2987-position model. The record is from RNAcentral. Lineage: Archaea; Methanobacteriati; Thermoplasmatota; Candidatus Poseidoniia; Candidatus Poseidoniales; Candidatus Poseidoniaceae.